Long non-coding RNA from Bombus pascuorum, 882 nucleotides. RefSeq lists it as uncharacterized. The record is from RefSeq and is a predicted model, not a curated record. The transcript has 2 exons. Lineage: Eukaryota; Metazoa; Arthropoda; Insecta; Hymenoptera; Apidae.
GGAACGAAAAAGAAAAUUGUCUCACGGAGGGAAAUUUUGAAUUUUUUAAAGCUGUUAGCUUGAAGCUCCUCCCACAUUUUUCUUUUUAUCUUUGUUGACGUUACAAUUUCUAAAGAUUUAUUCGCGGAAUCUUGCUAUAGUUUAGGAAAUAAUUAUUUCCUAUUUUCAUUUAAGAUUUCCUAAGAAAUAGUCUUCCAAUCUUUUCCUGAAAGUUUCUUGAAAUUCAUAAAAAUUUGUAAUAUCGCACGAUAACGAAAAGAUCGUUUAUUCUUGACGUUUGUGUACAAAUUUCUUGAGAAUAUCGUAAAAAUACACAAUCGUAAAAAUACAAACCACGAUCGUUUGAACCAUCGAGAGACGACAUGUCAGUCGCCGGAAGUUUGCAGUGUUCGACAGCCCAGAAAACUGGAAAUCGUACAAGCCUUUAAAUGUCAACGAAAAUGUAAAAUCGUCGAAGUGAAAAUAUUGAGACAUCUGGCGAAAUGUUUGAUGGUCUCGCUGUAUGCGAUACCAUUUGCGUGGCUUGCAUUUGGUGCUGUUUAUUCUCAAAGUGCUUCCCAAAUUCCAUCAGCCUCGAGGAAGUCGAUUCUAGCGAACGUUGCAGUUGGAAAAAGCCCAGUGAGAAAGCAAAGAUGUCACGACUUGUUCAGUGCUGUUUGAGCUCUGCGGAAACUCUACUGCGCCAUAAAUCUUACGGAGGAAACAACUGUUUCAACGACGUUCAGAAGAAUUAUAAAUAUCGAGUAUCCAUAAGCGAAGAUCCGUCAGAAGAUUUAUAGCGUCGAUAGGAUUUGUUAAAAUGUCUCGUUACGACGAAGUAAAAAUAAAAAUCUCGUUAAGAUCAAAUAUGUAUUCCAAAUAUAUAAAAUAGUUAAUAGGAAA